Platichthys flesus (European flounder) is the source of this 1818-nucleotide long non-coding RNA. RefSeq lists it as uncharacterized. The record is from RefSeq and is a predicted model, not a curated record. Lineage: Eukaryota; Metazoa; Chordata; Actinopteri; Pleuronectiformes; Pleuronectidae. The transcript has 3 exons.
UCUCCUCUCUUAGAUAUAUAUGAGUUUUUUCGAAUCACUCAAGUGGAUCUAAAGACGACAUUCUUCACAUCUUUGGAUGCACACGCCUCACACCUGAGGCGUGUGCCUCAGGUGUUACAGAACACGUAGCGGGACUCUAGGAAAGGACUUAAAGGCCCUCCUUGACAACCUCGAUGAACAGACAACCGAUGUGCUUGCACAAAGGAAGGCCACAGCUCUCCGAGGUCUACCUCUCUAUUUGAGGGAGAAUCCAGAUGACGUCCUGAAGACAUGUCUGGAUACAGACUCGGAGGAAACGUCCGUUGCAGGGGUUCAACUUGGCAUAGUCACCACUGUUGAAGAUGAUGUUGGGAGUGCUCACUCAAUGCCCAGAACAAUCAACAUUGCCCUUGUCAUCGAGGAAAAGGUUGUUGUGGAUGACAUCUCUGACAUCAGUACAGCAAUUGUCCUUCUUUUUGGAUGCAUCUACAACCUCAACCUGGACUACCCCAAAGGGUUGAAGUACACUUUUGAGGCCCUUCAAAAGAUUUUUAUGAAACUUGGCACAGAGUGUUCUGCCCGUGUUCAGGCUCUGAAAAACCACUUGUUAAAGUAGCCCGCUACCAUGAACACAUAGACAUGUGUUCAAUGGACAUAUUUGCGCACAUUGACAUGUCACUUUCUUCAUCAAAACAUGUUUUUAAGUUCAGUGAUAACUACACAAGUUUGUGUAGUGUUACCAAUCACGUGUUCCUAUUUGUAAUAAGUAUUUGCUCUCAGCUGGAUUUGGUUAUCCAAAGACCGAAACUGAACAAGUUUGUCGCGUUACACGUUUUUCAUGGAAGCAAUUUCUUCACUGCUGGGUUUGCCCAGUGGUUUCCUCAGGUAUCAGUGACUAACAAAUUAGGUGAUUCUUAGUACAAUACAUUUCACCAGACUUUUUUUUUUAUAUUCGAUUUUUGAACCUCUGCACAGAGUGCUCUACCCGUGUUCAGGCGCUGAAAACAAACUUGUUAAAGAAGCCUGCUACCAUGAACACUCGCGCACAUAGACAUGUCACUUUCUUCAUCAAAAUAUGCUUUUAAGUUCAGUAGUAACAACACAAGUUUGUUUAGUGUUGUUAUGAAUCCCAUGUUACCAUUUGAAGUUAGUGUUUACGAACUGCUGGAUUUGGUUAUCUCUGCAACUAAACACGUUUGUAACCGGUAAUUAUGGAUGCACUUUCUAUAGACAUGUCACUUUAUUCCUCAAAAUAUGUUUUUAAGUUCAGUAGUAGCUACACAAGUUUGUGUAGUGUUGCUACGAAUGCUAUGUUCCCAUUUGAAGUUAGUUUACUAACUGCUAGAUUUGGUUAUCUCUGCAACUAAACACGUUUGUGUCUUGUAACAGGUCAUUAUGGAUGCACUUUCUGUAGACAUGUCACUUUAUUUCUCAAAAUAUGUUUUUAAGUUCAGUAGUAGCUACACAAGUUUGUGUAGUGUUGUUACGAAUCCCAUGUUCACAUUUGAAGUUAAUGUUUACUAACUGCUUGAUUUGGUUAUCUCUGCAACUAAACACAUUUGUGUCUUGUUUCAAGUUUUUUUUAUGGAUGCACUUUCUUCACUGCUGGGUUUGGCCAGUGGUUACCUCAAGUAUCUGACUGACAAAUGAUGGUUGAUUCAUAGUGUCAAUCAUACUGUUUUCUAUAUUAUAGCUAAAGUAUUGAGAGCUGGUUCUGCACUUUGUGUUUACAUAUUCUAUCUUUGAAAAUAAGUGUACAAUGUUACCAAGUUCACUUAAGCAUCCCUGCUGCUGCAAUUUCAAUGUUGCCUUUUUUGUAGUUAUUGGAUGUUUAUAAUG